AAAGGAAUUGACGGGGGCCCGCACAAGCGGUGGAGCAUGUGGUUAAUUCGAAGCAACGCGAAGAACCUUACCAGGUCUUGACAUCCCGAUGCUAUUUCUAGAGAUAGAAAGUUACUUCGGUACAUCGGUGACAGGUGGUGCAUGGUUGUCGUCAGCUCGUGUCGUGAGAUGUUGGGUUAAGUCCCGCAACGAGCGCAACCCCUAUUGUUAGUUGCCAUCAUUCAGUUGGGCACUCUAGCGAGACUGCCGGUAAUAAACCGGAGGAAGGUGGGGAUGACGUCAAAUCAUCAUGCCCCUUAUGACCUGGGCUACACACGUGCUACAAUGGUUGGUACAACGAGUUGCGAGUCGGUGACGGCGAGCUAAUCUCUUAAAGCCAAUCUCAGUUCGGAUUGUAGGCUGCAACUCGCCUACAUGAAGUCGGAAUCGCUAGUAAUCGCGGAUCAGCACGCCGCGGUCGAAUACGUUCCGGCCUU
RNAcentral lists this ribosomal RNA (476 nucleotides) under uncultured Streptococcus sp. RNAcentral describes it as "bacterial SSU rRNA". It matches the Rfam family "Bacterial small subunit ribosomal RNA", at positions 903 to 1382 of the family's 1533-position model. Lineage: Bacteria; Bacillati; Bacillota; Bacilli; Lactobacillales; Streptococcaceae. The record is from RNAcentral.